RNAcentral lists this ribosomal RNA (396 nucleotides) under uncultured bacterium. RNAcentral describes it as "partial 16S ribosomal RNA". It matches the Rfam family "Bacterial small subunit ribosomal RNA", at positions 360 to 774 of the family's 1533-position model. The record is from RNAcentral.
AAUAUUGCACAAUGGGGGAAACCCUGAUGCAGCAACGCCGCGUAGGCGAUGAAGGCCUUCGGGUCGUAAAGCCCGUUCCGAGGGGAAGAUAAGGACGGUACCUUGGGAGGACGCCCCGGCUAACUACGUGCCAGCCGCCGCGGUAAUACGAAGGGGGCAAGCGUUAUCCGGAAUCAUUGGGCGUAAAGGGUGCGUAGGCUGCCCUAUAGGUCAGAGGUCAAAGGCUACGGCUCAACCGUAGUAAGCCUUUGAAACUGUAGGGCUUGAGUGCAGGAGAGGAGAGUGGAAUUCCUAGUGUAGCGGUGAAAUGCGUAGAUAUUAGGAGGAACACCAGUGGCGAAGGCGACUCUCUGGACUGCAACUGACGCUGAGGCACGAAAGCGUGGGUAGCGAACA